RNAcentral lists this ribosomal RNA (253 nucleotides) under uncultured bacterium. RNAcentral describes it as "partial 16S ribosomal RNA". It matches the Rfam family "Bacterial small subunit ribosomal RNA", at positions 524 to 776 of the family's 1533-position model. The record is from RNAcentral.
UACAUAGGGUGCGAGCGUUAAUCGGAAUUACUGGGCGUAAAGCGUGCGCAGGCGGUUUUGCAAGCCGGAUGUGAAAUCCCCGGGCUUAACCUGGGAAUGGCAUUUGGGACUGCAAGGCUGGAGUGCGGCAGAGGAGACUGGAAUUCCUGGUGUAGCAGUGAAAUGCGUAGAUAUCAGGAGGAACACCGAUGGCGAAGGCAGGUCUCUGGGCCGAUACUGACGCUGAGGAGCGAAAGCGUGGGGAGCGAACAGG